RNAcentral lists this transfer RNA (84 nucleotides) under Planctomycetaceae bacterium. RNAcentral's name for it is "tRNA-Leu". It matches the Rfam family "tRNA". From Rfam's summary of the family: Transfer RNA (tRNA) molecules are approximately 80 nucleotides in length. Their secondary structure includes four short double-helical elements and three loops (D, anti-codon, and T loops). Further hydrogen bonds mediate the characteristic L-shaped molecular structure. tRNAs have two regions of fundamental functional importance: the anti-codon, which is responsible for specific mRNA codon recognition, and the 3' end, to which the tRNAs corresponding amino acid is attached (by aminoacyl-tRNA synthetases). tRNAs cope with the degeneracy of the genetic code in two manners: having more than one tRNA (with a specific anti-codon) for a particular amino acid; and 'wobble' base-pairing, i.e. permitting non-standard base-pairing at the 3rd anti-codon position. Lineage: Bacteria; Pseudomonadati; Planctomycetota; Planctomycetia; Planctomycetales; Planctomycetaceae. RNAcentral also lists the same sequence under 2 other names. The record is from RNAcentral.
GCCAGAGUGGCGGAAUUGGCAGACGCGCUGGAUUCAAAAUCCAGUGGCCGCAAGGUCGUGGGGGUUCGAUUCCCCCCUCUGGUA